CUGGGCCUACGGGGGGCAGCAGUGGGGAAUAUUGCACAAUGGGGGAAACCCUGAUGCAGCGACGCCGCGUGAGUGAAGAAGUAUUUCGGUAUGUAAAGCUCUAUCAGCAGGGAAGAAACCCACCCUUUGGGGUGGCUGACGGUACCUGACUAAGAAGCCCCGGCUAACUACGUGCCAGCAGCCGCGGUAAUACGUAGGGGGCAAGCGUUAUCCGGAAUUAUUGGGCGUAAAGAGCGCGCAGGUGGUUAAUUAAGUCUGAUGUGAAAGCCCACGGCUUAACCGUGGAGGGUCAUUGGAAACUGGUU
This 305-nucleotide ribosomal RNA is filed under the name uncultured bacterium. RNAcentral's name for it is "bacterial SSU rRNA". It matches the Rfam family "Bacterial small subunit ribosomal RNA", at positions 331 to 638 of the family's 1533-position model. The record is from RNAcentral.